This is a long non-coding RNA of Pararge aegeria (speckled wood butterfly), 356 nucleotides long. RefSeq lists it as uncharacterized. Lineage: Eukaryota; Metazoa; Arthropoda; Insecta; Lepidoptera; Nymphalidae. The record is from RefSeq and is a predicted model, not a curated record. The transcript has 2 exons.
UCUACAGUUCAUUCAAUUAUUCAUGAGACAAUCAGAGUAAUUUGUGAUGUUUUGAUGCCCAUAGUUAUGCAGAUGCCAGAUGAAGAAAUGUGGGAAAAGUACAGUGUUACUAGCUGUGGUCGACGCGAAAUACAGUUUUUUAAUUGUUGAUGUCGGAUCAUAUGGUAAAAAUAGCGACGGCGGAAUUUUACAGAAUUCAAAAUUUUGGAAAAAACUCAACACCAAUAAGUUAAAGCUGCCCCCAAAUAAACCUCUACCUAGUACCACUGAAAGCUUACCACAUGUUUUUAUAGGAGACGAGGCAUUUCCUUUGAGCAAUAAUAUAUUGCGGCCGUAUCCAAGAGAACAAGCAAGAA